UGUUUCAACUGUGACAAGAAAAAAGGAAAAAAAGUCAUAUUCGUUUCUAAAUUCGGCAGUUUUGUUUAUCUUUCUCGACUUCUGAUUUCGUUUCGUUUAGGUUAUGUCUUAAAAAAUAAUUAUUUAUAAGCUGUUGAGUUGAAAUAUACCUUAAUGCAUAUCUAAAUAAUUAAAAAAAUCAAUUUUUUCGUCCCCCACGAAGAAACGAAACAGUAUUUUUGAAUAUUUGGAUUACAAACUAUUAUUUUAUGAGUUUUAUGUGUUGUGUUUACGUGAUGUGUAAUGUGUAUUUUGUACCUGCUGGAUAAUAUUUUGAAAUAUAUUUAAUUAAACAAAAAGCAUCUGUAUUACAGGUGUGACUGCUAAGUGGUCGUACUCGCCACUUUAACCAACCAUUGGUGGGACCAUGGUAGGACCUUCAGAGAUUAUAAUGCGAAUUUUUCAUACCAUGUAAAUCUAUAUACAUUAUUAAUAAAUGCGUUUGUUUUAUUAAAUUUGUUUUCUUAUACGGUAUGAGCGAAAAAAAAACGGCGUCUAUUUGUUUACGUAGAAAUAUAUGACAUCGAUAUUCAUUUCCAAGCCACCUCUGACGCCGUUUUUUUUUAUCGUAUGGUAUACACUUACAUAUUCCUUAUCCUUUAAAUCCGAUUUAUUUCUAAUAAUUAUAAAAAUAAGAUACCUGAUUGAUUCUUUCGAAAUAUUAUAAAAUGAGAUAUCAGGAAAUAAAUAAAGUUAAUUAUCUCGUUUGUUUUGGGAAUUC
Sitophilus oryzae (rice weevil) is the source of this 760-nucleotide long non-coding RNA. RefSeq lists it as uncharacterized. Lineage: Eukaryota; Metazoa; Arthropoda; Insecta; Coleoptera; Curculionidae. The record is from RefSeq and is a predicted model, not a curated record. The transcript is spliced from 2 exons.